RNAcentral lists this non-coding RNA (21 nucleotides) under Caenorhabditis elegans. The record is from RNAcentral. Lineage: Eukaryota; Metazoa; Nematoda; Chromadorea; Rhabditida; Rhabditidae.
UGAGAUAUCAAUCCAAUUCUG